Regulatory RNA element from Hymenobacter sp. APR13, 40 nucleotides. It matches the Rfam family "DUF805b RNA". Rfam says of the family: Bacteroidetes, Chlorobi (1 example), Proteobacteria. Lineage: Bacteria; Pseudomonadati; Bacteroidota; Cytophagia; Cytophagales; Hymenobacteraceae. The record is from Rfam.
ACCGGGGAACCCGAAAACCGGACGCCAAACAGAGUAGGGA